This 204-nucleotide long non-coding RNA is filed under the name Elaeis guineensis (African oil palm). Its description in RNAcentral is "long non-coding RNA (EGUI_LNC076563)". The record is from RNAcentral. Lineage: Eukaryota; Viridiplantae; Streptophyta; Magnoliopsida; Arecales; Arecaceae.
AGGUGGGAACAUUCUAGUUUCUAAUUUGUGCUAUUGCUAUCAUGGAUAUCCAUGAUGUCCAUGAAUGUGUUGUGAAUAUUUUUUUAUAAAUCUUUAACAGUACAUUUAAAAAUUUAUAUUUAAAUUUGUAUUCAAAUUUAUAUUCUAUCAUUAGUGAAACUAUUAAUUUGAUGUAUAUAAAUAUUUAGUAAUAGUAACAGAUGU